RNAcentral lists this unclassified non-coding RNA (679 nucleotides) under Bombus terrestris (buff-tailed bumblebee). RNAcentral's name for it is "misc RNA ENSBTSG00005033844.1". The record is from RNAcentral. Lineage: Eukaryota; Metazoa; Arthropoda; Insecta; Hymenoptera; Apidae.
GUCUCUAUAAUAUUCCAUCUUUUUUUAAAAAGAUAACAAGAUCUACUACCGAUUAAAAUUUCAGUUAAACAGCUAGCUUUCAAAUAUUGAACUCGCCUUGUUAGAAUAACUUGAAUAUUGAACCACGUGCGUAGCUAACGAUUUUAUUAUACAAAUAUAGCGCCGUUUAACGAUACAAAACGAUUAUAUAGAUAGGCAAGGAAUACAGAUAACAAAGGAGAACCAAUCAAUUACAUGUCGAUAUAAAAUCGAACAAAAUGCGAACAAAACGAAGCGGAUAAAAUCGGCGGAUCUAAGCCAUGCAAGGGUUAAUCAUUUUCCUGCAGUUACACGUGUCAUUCCAAGCCGGCUGUGAAAUUAAUAAAGCAAGGGACAUUUGGGAGCGCGAAACGAGCAUUUCGCGUCACGAAAAGUUCUCUCCCACGUACUCGAUUUAAAACUGGUUUAUGGUCGAUGAAACUGGAAUUAUAUUGGAGGACACGUUCAAUUGAGAAACCUGAUUCCUUGUGGAUCAACUAAAAUGUAUCUGCAUGUGGAGCUUGAAUUUCCCUCGAUGGAUACACUUUGUCUUCACAUCGUUCUUUUUUAUCAGAAACAAAUUUAAAGAUGUUCAUUAUAGUAAGAGAGAUCAAAUCAAUGACAAGCAAUAAGAUUUAGAUAAUACAACGCUAAAUAUCGC